Molecule: ribosomal RNA, 254 nt
Filed under: uncultured bacterium
Lineage: Bacteria
Description: partial 16S ribosomal RNA
Rfam family: Bacterial small subunit ribosomal RNA
Source: RNAcentral
UACGUAGGGGGCAAGCGUUGUCCGGAUUUAUUGGGCGUAAAGAGCUCGUAGGCGGCUCAGUAAGUCAGGUGUGAAACCUCCAGGCUCAACCUGGAGACGCCACCUGAUACUGCUGUGGCUAGAGUCCGGUAGGGGAGCGUGGAAUUCCUGGUGUAGCGGUGAAAUGCGCUGAUAUCAGGAGGAACACCAGCGGCGAAGGCGGCGCUCUGGGCCGGAACUGACGCUGAGGAGCGAAAGCGUGGGUAGCAAACAGG